Non-coding RNA from Vicia faba (fava bean), 222 nucleotides. Lineage: Eukaryota; Viridiplantae; Streptophyta; Magnoliopsida; Fabales; Fabaceae. The record is from the annotation of a GenBank genome assembly.
AUGCACAUUAUUUCAACUGUACAACUUCCUCUCACGCAUACGCCGCCCCUGUUCACGCAUACGCCUCACUGUAUAACUUCUUCCUCACCGCCGUUUCACGUCUCCUCGCUGCCGUUUCACGCCGUUUCACGUCUCCUUGCUGCCGAUUCACGCCCUUCACGUCUCCUCGUCGUUGAUUCACGCUCUUCACGGCUCAUCUCCGCCGAUUCACGCCCUUCAUGA